GCCGGUCCUCGGUAGUGGCCCCCGGGUGGUCAACCCCCGGUGGCUUCGAUCGAAGACCGGC
This is a regulatory RNA element of 61 nucleotides. It matches the Rfam family "Actino-pnp RNA". The record is from Rfam.